AAAACCAAACCCCUUGCUUUUAAGUCUUGUUUUUAGAGUCAAAACCUGUUUUCUUUUGAUCUUUUGAGUCUUUGAAGUUCUAUUUUCGUCCAAAUCACUUGUUAGGUCUAGAAUUGAGUCUUUUUAUUGUUAUUUGCUGUUUUGAGUGUUUUAAGUUAGUUUUGAGUUUAUAAAGUCUAGUUUAGUGUUUUUUAUCUUAUAUUUGUUGAUUAGCAUCCCUAGUUAAUCCCCGGUCUAGAACGAUCCAUACUUGCAUCAUUACUACAAUUGUCAUCAAUAGGGUUUAAUUUGUGUGUCAACUUAAUUUUCACACCACCUAUGUACUUGUGUAAACCCUUCACAAUUAAUGAGAACUCCUCUACUCCGUGGACGUAGCCAAUCUGGGUGAACCACGUACAUCUUGUGUUUGCAUCCUUGUCUCUAUCCAUUUGCAUACUUAUCCACACUAGUGACCGGAGCAAUCUAGCGAAUGUCAUAAAUUUGACACUUUCUGUUGUACCAAAGUCCUCACUGAUUUUGUACAUUAACAUCCUUUAAUACAAGUUGUUGAUGAGAUGUCUUUCAGAGAAUGAGCUUCCACUUGGAUACUUGAGUAAUCCUCUCAAAUUUACAGAUUUUUCCAUGAAAAAUUGCUUUUCGCUGCAAAAUUUCGGCUGAGUAAUGAUAUGAAAUAAUCCAACACUCAAAUUAAACCCUCUUUUUGACAAUUGUAGUAAAGAUGUAAGUAGGGAUUGUUCUAGAUGAUAGGAGCAUAUUUAUGCGACUUAGUUGGCUUGUUCUUGUGCAUUUAUGUCGUGUU
Molecule: long non-coding RNA, 799 nt
Filed under: Malus domestica (apple)
Lineage: Eukaryota; Viridiplantae; Streptophyta; Magnoliopsida; Rosales; Rosaceae
Description: long non-coding RNA (MDOM_LNC018577)
Source: RNAcentral